Long non-coding RNA from Physeter macrocephalus (sperm whale), 247 nucleotides. RefSeq lists it as uncharacterized. The record is from RefSeq and is a predicted model, not a curated record. NCBI's taxonomy places the organism in Eukaryota, Metazoa, Chordata, Mammalia, Artiodactyla, Physeteridae. The transcript is spliced from 2 exons.
GACAAUUAAAUCAACCUGCCAGGUUCCUAUAGCAACAGGCUCCUGAAGGAGAAAGAAGAGAGUGCAGAAACUUCAGGGCCUGUGGAAAUCAAGACAGGGGAGGAGGCCCUCAAAACCAGAUCCAUUGCCCUUCUCAUCCUAGGGAUGAAAAUAAAGCCCCCAGAAAUCUUUUUGGCUCGUGGGAUGAGGCAGGGAGAGGAGACCAGCUCAGGGAUUUGGAUCGACCCUGGACCACUUCAGAACUCAC